CCUACGGGAUGCAGCAGUAGGGAAUAUUCGGCAAUGGACGAAAGUCUGACCGAGCAACGCCGCGUGAGUGAAGAAGGUUUUCGGAUCGUAAAACUCUGUUGUUAGAGAAGAACAAGUAAGAGAGUAACUGCUCUUACCUUGACGGUAUCUAACCAGAAAGCCACGGCUAACUACGUGCCAGCAGCCGCGGUAAUACGUAGGUGGCAAGCGUUGUCCGGAUUUAUUGGGCGUAAAGCGAGCGCAGGCGGUCUUUUAAGUCUGAUGUGGAAGCCCGCGGCUCAACCGAGGAAGGUCAUUGGAAACUGGAUGACUUGAGUGCAGAAGAGGAGAGUGGAAUUCCAUGUGUAGCGGUGAAAUGCGUAGAUAUAUGGAGGAACACCAGUGGCGAAGGCGACUCUCUGGUCUGUAACUGACGCUGAGGCUCGAAAGCGUGGGGAGCAAACAGGAUUAGAUACCCUAGUAGUC
Molecule: ribosomal RNA, 465 nt
Filed under: uncultured bacterium
Lineage: Bacteria
Description: bacterial SSU rRNA
Rfam family: Bacterial small subunit ribosomal RNA
Source: RNAcentral